Molecule: non-coding RNA, 109 nt
Filed under: Heterosigma akashiwo
Lineage: Eukaryota; Raphidophyceae; Chattonellales; Chattonellaceae
Source: RNAcentral
GCGGCAAAUACCAAUCACAUUCAAUUGGAUCUCUGUUGUUCAAGGAGUUGGGCCCGCUAGACAGACCAUUUCACAAAAAAGAUGUCCGAAGUAGUUGUGAAGAAGAAAA